Molecule: long non-coding RNA, 1745 nt
Filed under: Mytilus galloprovincialis (Mediterranean mussel)
Lineage: Eukaryota; Metazoa; Mollusca; Bivalvia; Mytilida; Mytilidae
Source: RNAcentral
UGCAAUGAGACAACUCUCCAUCAAAACAUCAGAUUAGAUGCAGUUCCUUCAGUGGUUUCAGUAGGAUAAUUUUUGUAAAACAAAGUUGACGGACACUAUUGAAGAUGGACGCUAGUGAAUGCAGUAGCUUACGUUGCCCAUUUAGCCAGGUGAGCUAAAUAACUUAUUUUAGAAUAAUUUUUCUGCAUCAAAAAGGGCCACAAUUCAUGACCGAGAGAUAUUUGUUUUGUGAAUUCACAAAAAUAACCAGUGGUCCUUCUUUCUGACUUUGUUUUAAUGAUAAACAAAUAUUCUGGACUGGUACCAUAGGACACGAUAUAUGCCACACAAAAAGAAGAACGUCUCUAUCUUUCACAAAACUUGCAAAUUUAUUCUUUGGUUUUUGUUGUGUAUGUUGAAUACUCUGAACUUAUAACCAAACAUGUAAGUUAUAGAGGGUAUUAAAUUCGAGAAGUGUACAUCGUUGAUUCACGAAACAGCAAUGAAUAUUCAUGGUCGGGUUGUUGUCUUUUAUGUAACAUUCCCAAUUUCCAUUCUCAAUUGUAUGCAUGUUAUAAGUGAAUAAAAUUGAUGAAUUGUGUUGAAUUUUAAAGAUUCGACCUUAAUGCGAAAAGUGCUUUAUUUGGCUUUUGUUGAUUGUUGUAAUAUUAACAUCUGCAUAUCUUUUACUAUUUGAGAAGAUUAAUUGUUUGAUUUAUAGUGUUUAAGGUUUAACACUUUCACUAAAAUUAAUUUGGCUCGUUUAAUUUUCAUAAAAUUUUGUCAAAGUAUUUACUUUGACCCUUUUACAAAAGUAUAAAAAUUUCAAAAAUUUUGAACCAACCGUUUUGUCAGAAAUAUUACACUGGUUAUAUGGCCACAGACCACAAUUAAUUCCUCUAUCAGUUCUUUAUAACCUUUUGCAUCAUUAAAAAAAUUGCACCAUGCACUUUUGUCAAUUUUUUUGUGUGUGUAAUGUAUAGUCCUAGUCCAAAUAUAUAUCCAAAAUUCAGAAAGAUUGACGCAAUCACUUUUACAAAUUUAGCCAAUACACAUCCAUACCCCUAUUGACAAGUCAAGAGAUGUUCCGAAAACUGUAAAUAUUACCCUUUUGCACUUGGCCUAAUCACUCAUUCCAAAUCAAAAUCAGUUAAAACACAACAUCCAAAAAUUCAUUUCACCUCUCUUCAUUUAUUUCCACCAAAAAAAAUCUAAGAAAUGAGUGAGGAAGGGAAAGAAAAAAAAUAAGGAAAAUACACUCUAAUUAAAAGGAACUAUAUUCGGACAACGAAAAGCGGGGUCAUUAAUUGUGGUCUUGGGACAGCAGUUUGACAAACACCAAUUUUGAUCAUUGAGAAGCUUAAUAUUCCUUUCAUAACACAACGUAAUUAAAACGUUUAGCUGACUUUACAGAGUUAUCUCCCUGUAGUGUUAGGUACCACCUUAAGGUCAGUAAAUUGGCUAUGCCGCAGAUUAUUAAAAAAUAUGUGCUUAUAACCUAGCUUAGCUCGUUGAACUAAAACUAAAACAAUCAGUUUGAAGAUUUUUGGUUGACGUUCAUUUAUCUACAGUUGUUUGCAAUAUGUUACUGAAAUCUGUGACAUAGUCAAUUUACUUUUACUUGACCUUAUAGGUCUCUUAGCUAUGUCAUGCCUUCAAUCUAAAAAGGUUUUGAUUUGUUAUAACAGUGCAGAAUACCAGGAAUCAAUACAAAUAUCAGAUAGCAAAACAGACCAAUGAUGAACAACGACUCCUCCGGAAAAAAG